UUUGCUAAUCCUCACACUUUAUACUCACACAAAAGACUCUCUCCCUUCACCUCCUGUCUCUUUGCACAGAUUUAAUGUCAUAAUGUUUCAGUGACUUCUCAGACUGUUGGAAUCUCAUUAUUUAUACAGCAUAAAUAAUUAAACUAGACCCUCUUUUUAAAAUUAAAUGAACCGUGUAUUUCUGAACUAGUUACCUUAGUGAUAAAUUGUGCCCAAAGCUGAUCAUCUCUUACAUGCAAUUAAAGUGUUCACUGAUCUCUUGCACUGUGGCUUCAAAAUUAGGAAAGUCACCCAGCCAAGGACAGACUGUGUGGGAUGCAUUAUGGGCAGCUUAUCCAUCAGCAGUAUGGUGCUCAUAUUAUACUUUUCCCCCUGUUUUCUUGGAAGCCAAAAGUCACUGAUUUUGGUGAAUUUGUCUCCAGGUAGUUCUGCUGCUCGGUCACUGGGAAUAUUAUCCCAUGCUUGUGGGCAGCGGCACUUGUGGAAACCUCAAAUUUGUCAGUAAGCACAUACUUUGUCCCUUGUUCUUCCUUCCCAGGUUACUUGUCUAUUGCUGAUCGGAGGGUGUGAUGUGGAGAUGAGUUCCAAGAAGCUGUAUGGUGCUUGCACGGCCCAAGAGACAUCAAACCCUUUCAAGUCUGACUGCCACGAAAAGGGGAGUCUCCCUGUGAUUAUUGAUGGUUGAGGAGACCAAUUGCUAUAAGGGCUGGGAAUCUGACUCCUAUGGAGGAAGGUGGUUGCAAAUUCAUGCUGAAAUGAGCAAGACCUUCUAAUUCACCGAGAUGGGACUUCAGGAAGCUCUUCAACUGCCCUUCUCAGUUUGUACUUUUGUGUACCUUCAGUUUUCUGAGAAGUCCUUCGCUCUGUUUUCUCUGACUCAACAUAUGGCCAAUGAAUGGGGGGCAAAA
Long non-coding RNA from Columba livia (rock pigeon), 908 nucleotides. RefSeq lists it as uncharacterized. The transcript is spliced from 3 exons. The record is from RefSeq and is a predicted model, not a curated record. Lineage: Eukaryota; Metazoa; Chordata; Aves; Columbiformes; Columbidae.